GGGCCCGCACAAGCGGCGGAGCAUGUGGAUUAAUUCGAUGCAACGCGAAGAACCUUACCUAGGCUUGACAUGCACGGAAAUCUCGCAGAGAUGCGGGGUCCGUAAGGGCCGUGCACAGGUGGUGCAUGGUUGUCGUCAGCUCGUGUCGUGAGAUGUUGGGUUAAGUCCCGCAACGAGCGCAACCCUCGUUCCAUGUUGCCAGCGGAUAAUGCCGGGGACUCAUAGGAGACUGCCGGGGUCAACUCGGAGGAAGGUGGGGAUGAGGUCAAGUCAUCAUGCCCCUUAAGUCCAGGGCUUCACGCAUGCUACAUUGGCCGGUACAGCGGGUUGCGAUACCGUGAGGUGGAGCGAAUCCCUGUAAAGCCGGUCCUGGUUCGGAUUCGAGUCUGCAACUCGACCCCAUGAAGUCGGAGUCGCUAGUAAUCGCAGA
RNAcentral lists this ribosomal RNA (430 nucleotides) under uncultured Actinomycetes bacterium. RNAcentral describes it as "bacterial SSU rRNA". It matches the Rfam family "Bacterial small subunit ribosomal RNA", at positions 917 to 1348 of the family's 1533-position model. Lineage: Bacteria; Bacillati; Actinomycetota; Actinomycetes. The record is from RNAcentral.